UACGAAGGGGGCUAACGUUGCUCGGAAUCACUGGGCGUAAAGCGCACGUAGGCGGCUUGUUAAGUCAGGGGUGAAAUCCUGGAGCUCAACUCCAGAACUGCCUUUGAUACUGGCGAGCUUGAGUUCGGGAGAGGUGAGUGGAACUGCGAGUGUAGAGGUGAAAUUCGUAGAUAUUCGCAAGAACACCAGUGGCGAAGGCGGCUCACUGGCCCGAUACUGACGCUGAGGUGCGAAAGCGUGGGGAGCAAACAGG
RNAcentral lists this ribosomal RNA (253 nucleotides) under uncultured bacterium. RNAcentral describes it as "partial 16S ribosomal RNA". It matches the Rfam family "Bacterial small subunit ribosomal RNA", at positions 524 to 776 of the family's 1533-position model. The record is from RNAcentral.